AGCGAACGCUGGCGGCAGGCCUAACACAUGCAAGUCGAACGAACCUUUCGGGGUUAGUGGCGGACGGGUGAGUAACACGUGGGAACGUGCCUUUAGGUUCGGAAUAACUCAGGGAAACUUGUGCUAAUACCGAAUGUGCCCUUCUGGGGAAAGAUUUAUCGCCUUUAGAGCGGCCGGCGUCUGAUUAGCUAGUUGGUUGAGGUAAUGGCUCACCAAGGCGACGUUCAGUAGCUGGUCUGAGAGAAUGAUCAGCCACAUUGGGACUGAGACACGGCCCAAAAUCCUACGGGAGGCAGCAGUGGGGGAUCUAGCGAAAUGGGGGAAAGCCUGACGCAGCCAUGCCGGGUGAAUGAUGAAGGUCUUAGGAUUGUAAAAUUCUUUAACCGGGGACGAUAAUGACGGUACCCGGAGAAGAAGCCCCGGCUAACUUCGUG
Molecule: ribosomal RNA, 434 nt
Filed under: uncultured bacterium
Lineage: Bacteria
Description: partial 16S ribosomal RNA
Rfam family: Bacterial small subunit ribosomal RNA
Source: RNAcentral